UACGUAGGGUGCGAGCGUUGUCCGGAAUCAUUGGGCGUAAAGCGCGUGUAGGCGGUCCGGUAAGUCCGCUGUGAAAGUCGGGGGCUCAACCCUCGAAUGCCGGUGGAUACUGUCGGGCUAGAGUGCGGAAGAGGCGGGUGGAAUUCCUGGUGUAGCGGUGAAAUGCGCAGAUAUCAGGAGGAACACCAAUUGCGAAGGCAGCUCGCUGGGACGUUACUGACGCUGAGACGCGAAAGCGUGGGGAGCAAACAGG
Molecule: ribosomal RNA, 253 nt
Filed under: uncultured bacterium
Lineage: Bacteria
Description: partial 16S ribosomal RNA
Rfam family: Bacterial small subunit ribosomal RNA
Source: RNAcentral